UACGGAGGGUGCAAGCGUUAUCCGGAUUCACUGGGUUUAAAGGGCGCGUAGGUGGGCAGUUAAGUCAGUGGUGAAAUCUCCGGGCUCAACCCGGAAACUGCCAUUGAUACUAUCUGUCUUGAAUAUCGUGGAGGUAAGCGGAAUAUGUCAUGUAGCGGUGAAAUGCUUAGAUAUGACAUAGAACACCAAUGGCGAAGGCAGCUUACUACCCGAAUAUUGACACUGAGGCACGAAAGCGUGGGGAGCAAACAGG
RNAcentral lists this ribosomal RNA (253 nucleotides) under uncultured bacterium. RNAcentral describes it as "partial 16S ribosomal RNA". It matches the Rfam family "Bacterial small subunit ribosomal RNA", at positions 524 to 776 of the family's 1533-position model. The record is from RNAcentral.